Molecule: long non-coding RNA, 1404 nt
Organism: Acanthopagrus latus (yellowfin seabream)
Lineage: Eukaryota; Metazoa; Chordata; Actinopteri; Spariformes; Sparidae
Exons: 2
Source: RefSeq, a predicted model, not a curated record
ACAGGGCGACAGGGUUAAAAGUCAAAUUGGUUUCAUUUAAAAGCAGAAUUCAGAAUAACAGCAGUCACUCUUUCCUGAUAAGCCCUGCUGUGCGCCUGCGUGUGUUUCUGGCACAGCUGUCAUAACAAACCAUGAGACAAAGAGGUGAUCGGCUGGCACAGCUGAUGAUCAAAGUCCAGACACAGCCAUGGACACACUCACAUACAUUCAGGGUAGCCAACAUUAUUCCCAUCACUCUACCCAGUUUCUUCAAGUACGCCUGUAGAGUGCAGCUUAAGCCACAUGUUUGUGUGUUGAGCUGAGAUCACAGUGUCUGUCCUCACAGCAUCUCAGUGAAGUUCAAUAAAGAAAGGUUGCUUUGUUUUUCUGCCAAUCCCACAGAGAGAAACCUCUGUCAGUCAGACUUUAUGUUUGCAGCCAAAAGGCGUUUUUAAAUAAUGAGCCUUAAAUCCACCAUGCAACAUAACCCUCCUGUAAGAUUUAACACCCAGACUGUCGGGGACAGGCAGCGCUGAUGUUUGAUCAGCGCACUUCCAAUCUGGUUUCGAUCCCGAUGACGCAAAAUUCGGUCAGUUCAGCCGCUGCGCUGCGUGACAGUUUCACGUGCUGACGCGGACGUGGUGCGUUUUACGCGCUCCCGUGGCGCGCGGCCAAGCGGCCAAUUGACAAGUUGUGAUUAGUUUAAGUGCCGAAAAUCAGAUGAGAUUAGUGCCGAAUGAGCCGAUCAUUUCUCUGUCCGCGUGAAGACGUGCACAUUCUGACUGGAGGCGGCGGAAGCUAAGAAACACACAAGCGGCGAGCCACAUACCUGCGACCGGGGAGGGCUUCCGAAGAACGACCCACCGAGUCUUCCACUGUGGACAGGGACCUGACUAAAGACAUCACAGGCCUGCCAGAACCGGAUAUUCUCCUCACUGAACUCUUUCUUGAGGAACUCCUGAGGCAGAAGAAUUAAUUGUGGGUCAAAAAUUAGGACACAUCUGGCAAACUUAGUCAAGAGACAAAAAUGUCUUCAUAAUGAGAGGCAAUUUUUGAGAUUUUAUUUUGUUUUACAUUUUUUUAAAAAAAUAUUUGUCAUUUUUAUGACCACUAUAGCUCUGUCAAUUAUCAAUAUUCAGCAUCAGAGUCAAAAAUAUAAUGUUUGCAUCAAAAUGUAGUUAGCUGGAAGUGUAAAGUAGCAGAGAAAAGAAAUACUAGAGUACUGUACAAGCACCUUAAAAUGAGUAGACUUGUACUUGUACUUCAUAGCAUUUUCUCACUGCUUGUAACUUGUCUCUACAGAAAGGCCAACAGAAUAAUGAUUUUACAUAACUUGAGUAUAUAAAGCCAUUUUUGUGACAGUGUGAGAUAUGGUCAACACUGGCUGGCACAAAACAACAAUAAACUCCAUUGCUGUUUAACUUG